Molecule: ribosomal RNA, 199 nt
Filed under: uncultured bacterium
Lineage: Bacteria
Description: partial 16S ribosomal RNA
Rfam family: Bacterial small subunit ribosomal RNA
Source: RNAcentral
GGCUGCAACUCGCCUGCACGAAGUCGGAAUUGCUAGUAAUCGUAGGUCAGCAUACUACGGUGAAUACCGUUCCCGGGCCUUGUACACACCGCCCGUCAAACCAUGAGAGUUGGCAACACCCGAAGUCGGUAGUCUAACCGCAAGGAGGACGCCGCCGAAGGUGGGGUUNAUGAUUAGGGUUAAGUCGUAACAAGGUAAC